RNAcentral lists this ribosomal RNA (459 nucleotides) under uncultured bacterium. RNAcentral describes it as "partial 16S ribosomal RNA". It matches the Rfam family "Bacterial small subunit ribosomal RNA", at positions 339 to 795 of the family's 1533-position model. The record is from RNAcentral.
CUACGGGUUGCAGCAGUAAGGAAUAUUGGUCAAUGGACGAAAGUCUGAACCAGUCAUGCCGCGUGGAGGAUGAAGGUCCUCUGGAUUGUAAACUUCUUUUAUCUGGGAAGAAAUCCAUGGUUUCUACUAUGGUUGACGGUACCAGAUGAAUAAGCACCGGCUAACUCCGUGCCAGCAGCCGCGGUAAUACGGAGGGUGCAAGCGUUAUCCGGAUUCACUGGGUUUAAAGGGUGCGUAGGUGGGCAGGUAAGUCAGUGGUGAAAUCUCCGAGCUUAACUCGGAAACUGCCAUUGAUACUAUCUGUCUUGAAUACCCUGGAUGUGAGCGGAAUAUGUCAUGUAGCGGUGAAAUGCUUAGAUAUGACAUAGAACACCAAUUGCGAAGGCAGCUCACUACGGGAAUAUUGACACUGAGGCACGAAAGCGUGGAGAUCAAACAGGAUUAGAUACCCUAGUAGUC